RNAcentral lists this ribosomal RNA (253 nucleotides) under uncultured bacterium. Its description in RNAcentral is "partial 16S ribosomal RNA". It matches the Rfam family "Bacterial small subunit ribosomal RNA", at positions 524 to 776 of the family's 1533-position model. The record is from RNAcentral.
UACGAAGGGUGCUAGCGUUGUUCGGAAUCACUGGGCGUAAAGCGUGCGUAGGUGGCUUGGCAAGCCAGGGGUGAAAUCCCGGAGCUUAACUCCGGAAUUGCCUUUGGAACUGCUUGGCUAGAGGAUAUUAGAGGUAAGUGGAAUUCCUAGUGUAGGAGUGAAAUCCGUAGAUAUUAGGAGGAACAUCGAUUGCGAAGGCAGCUUACUGGGAUAUUUCUGACACUGAGGCACGAAAGCGUGGGGAUCAAACAGG